This 460-nucleotide ribosomal RNA is filed under the name uncultured bacterium. RNAcentral describes it as "partial 16S ribosomal RNA". It matches the Rfam family "Bacterial small subunit ribosomal RNA", at positions 338 to 795 of the family's 1533-position model. The record is from RNAcentral.
CCUACGGGAGGCAGCAGUGAGGAAUAUUGGUCAAUGGACGAGAGUCUGAACCAGCCAAGUAGCGUGAAGGAUGACUGCCCUAUGGGUUGUAAACUUCUUUUAUAUGGGAAUAAAAUGUUCCACGUGUGGGAUUUUGUAUGUACCAUAUGAAUAAGGAUCGGCUAACUCCGUGCCAGCAGCCGCGGUAAUACGGAGGAUCCGAGCGUUAUCCGGAUUUAUUGGGGUUAAAGGGAGCGUAGGGGGAUUGUUAAGUCAGUUGUGAAAGUUUGCGGCUCAACCGUAAAAUUGCAGUUGAAACUGGCAGUCUUGAGUACAGUAGAGGUGGGCGGAAUUCGUGGUGUAGCGGUGAAAUGCUUAGAUAUCACGAAGAACUCCGAUUGCGAAGGCAGUUCACUGGACUGCAACUGACACUGAGGCUCGAAAGUGUGGGUAUCAAACAGGAUUAGAUACCCGAGUAGUC